This 501-nucleotide ribosomal RNA is filed under the name uncultured bacterium. Its description in RNAcentral is "partial 16S ribosomal RNA". It matches the Rfam family "Bacterial small subunit ribosomal RNA", at positions 29 to 523 of the family's 1533-position model. The record is from RNAcentral.
AUUGAACGCUGGCGGCAUGCCUUACACAUGCAAGUCGAACGGCAGCACGGGUGCUUGCACCUGGUGGCGAGUGGCGAACGGGUGAGUAAUACAUCGGAACGUACCUUAUCGUGGGGGAUAACGCAGCGAAAGCUGUGCUAAUACCGCAUACGCCCUGAGGGGGAAAGCGGGGGAUCGCGAGACCUCGCGCGAUUAGAGCGGCCGAUGCCUGAUUAGCUUGUUGGUGGGGUAAAAGCCCACCAAGGCGACGAGCAGUAGCUGGUCUGAGAGGACGAUCAGCCACACUGGGACUGAGACACGGCCCAGACUCCUACGGGAGGCAGCAGUGGGGAAUUUUGGACAAUGGGGGCAACCCUGAUCCAGCAAUGCCGCGUGAGUGAAGAAGGCCUUCGGGUUGUAAAGCUCUUUUGUCAGGGAAGAAACACCGGCUCUAACACAGUCCGGGAAUGACGGUACCUGAAGAAUAAGCACCGGCUAACUACGUGCCAGCAGCCGCCGCGG